This is a long non-coding RNA of Pyrgilauda ruficollis (rufous-necked snowfinch), 429 nucleotides long. RefSeq lists it as uncharacterized. The transcript has 2 exons. Lineage: Eukaryota; Metazoa; Chordata; Aves; Passeriformes; Passeridae. The record is from RefSeq and is a predicted model, not a curated record.
CAUGAGUGUGCCCUUGGACCCUGAACAUCUCACCGUGCGGCUGAAUUAAACAUCUGUGGAUAUUAUGCAAAGGCCCUUUUUGCUUCCUUACCCUGGAUUUUACUAGCAGCAAUUCUGGCUGCAACAAUUACCAGGGAGGCGGCGGGGGACCCAAGACCUCAGAGGAACUGAACCAACACGAGAAAGGACAUUAAAAUCCACCAACUUCAGCUGCUGCAAGGAGAAGACCCAUGCCAGAAAUCCAAUAGGUUCCCAGAUGCUGCGUGAACUCUUUUCUCCCUGCUUCCAAAGACAAAGAAGGGCAGCUGCCAUCUUUGCCUCUCGGCCACACGGCAAGAUGGGGGUAGGGUGUAAGGUUCAAUUUUUUUUCCCUGUGCUUUGAGGGUAUCUUGCUUUGUUAAUAAACAGUUUUACUUUUUUUCACAUCCA